Clupea harengus (Atlantic herring) is the source of this 1899-nucleotide long non-coding RNA. The record is from Ensembl. Lineage: Eukaryota; Metazoa; Chordata; Actinopteri; Clupeiformes; Clupeidae.
CCCACCUUUUUGGAAAAAAUGCAUCAUCCAGCAGUUUUGAGUUAAAAUCAUGCUAGCUAUAUAGACUCAAAGUGUAGCUUACCAAAGCACUGAAACAGUAAAAUGGCUGACUCUUCAAAAAUGUGUGGUCAUUUGACAAAUUUCUUCUAUGGUUCCCUAGAAACAGGGGGUGGCACAACUUCCCCGCUGGCACAAAUCACCCCACUCCCCUACGUGUGUGCAGAAGAUGUAGUAAUUUCUUGAAAGGUUUCUUGAAAGACAAGAUAUUUCAGCUUAAUGUCUUUCUUCAGCUGGUCAAGUAAAGUCCAUAUAAACACAUUGAGAGAGAGAAUAUUGUAAAACUUUAACAUUCUCUAAAGUCUAGAAUUCAGUUAAGGGGGCUUCUAGUGGUCCUUUCUGCCUCAUUUUACCACUGCGCUCCCUUUCAGAGAUUCUCUGCAUAAUCAAUCAACAAUCAAGACCACAUGCACUUAAAGAUGACUGUUGGCUGUGAAGUUUUUGACCAUUAAUGUGCUAUUUGUUGGCGAUUAGAAUUAAUAUAACUUAUUGCAUCAUGUGUUGAUGUGGUGGUGUGGCCCCGGUAGGCAUUCUACAGGUUCUAAAUAUGUAACGUCAGCACAGGGUGGUUGGACUGUCAGUUGCUUCUUCCUGUGCGCGCUUGGUGGAGGCUUUUGUGCACAGGGGCGGUUGGUUUCGUCUCUUUCACUUUGUGCGGCGAUCAUAUUACUCACCACUUCAUGGGACGUCUAGUUUCCUUAGCUGGCAGUUAAACUGUGUUGUGGUCUGUAGUUUGCCCACAGGCUUUGCUUACCAGACUCAAGACUCAAUGUUCAAAAUGAUUUACGAGUCACUUGCCAUAUCCUGACCAUUAAACCUCAAAAUGCACAGACUAAGGUGAUGUAUGGUAUAUUAGGCAAUGUAGCCUAUGAAAUGUAUAGGCCUUUAACAUAUGUGAUGACACAUAUUGUAAGUAUUGUAAUGGAAAGUAUGAAUAUUGCAUAUAGGCAGGACUGUAUAACCCAACAAAGUGUAUUCUGUCCAAGAUCUUCUCACCACAACCAGUGUUUGGGCUGGUUUCAAUGUUUUCUGAUGAGAUGCCUACACUAUACUAGUUGGGACUGAAACUUGACCCCUAAAGAUGAGCUGCUUUUUCAAAUCCUUGUGAAUGCUGAGGAUGAACCAGUCUGUAGCUGAGGAAAGUUUGCAGUUUCUGUUCAGUCAGUGAAAUAAACACUCACCUUUAUGCCAUAUUCAUCUGUUUGAUGGAAAGGGGAUGCAGCAGCAUUUUCCUUGCAGUGAGAAUGGAGACCUCUCCACUUCAAGAUACAGUGACAUACACUGGUUACAGCACCUCUAAUUUGUACUGGCUACAUGGCCAGGGUAAGGGUUCGGGUUAGGGUUAGAGAUGCACCUCUAAUUUGUACUGGCUACAUGGCCAGGGUUAGGGUUCGGGUUUGAGGUGCACCUCUAAGGGUUUGGGUUAGGGUUAGAGAUGCACCUCUAAUUUGUACUAGCUACAUGGCCAGGGUUAGGGUUAGGGUUUGAGAUGCACCUCUAAUUUGUACUGGCUACAUGGCCAGGGUUAGGGUUCGAGAUGCACCUCAUCAGGCAUUCAGGUGUCGCACAACCUGGGGGAAGCUACAGAGAGGGAAGGAAGUACAAAGACAACACAGGACACACUCGCGUGACCGUAACAUGCCAUCAUAUACUUAAAUAGUUUAUUGUCUGAUACACCUAUUGUCUUUUUAUCAUGUAAGAUGAGUGUUUAAAAAAUGUCAAAAUUCUGUUUGUUUGGGGGGCACUGUGGCGCAAACAGUAGCCCCGACCACAUUCGGGCUUGACGCCCAUAGAGGACACGGGUUCGAAUCCGGCCCGAUGUCAUUUCUCCUGUCCACUCCC